GGGCGGUUAGCUCAGUUGGUAGAGCACGUCGUUGACGUCGACGGGGUCAGUGGUUCGAGUCCACUACCGCCCACGA
RNAcentral lists this transfer RNA (76 nucleotides) under Thermaerobacter subterraneus DSM 13965. RNAcentral describes it as "tRNA-Val". It matches the Rfam family "tRNA". Rfam says of the family: Transfer RNA (tRNA) molecules are approximately 80 nucleotides in length. The record is from RNAcentral. RNAcentral also lists the same sequence under 1 other name. Lineage: Bacteria; Bacillati; Bacillota; Clostridia; Eubacteriales; Clostridiales Family XVII. Incertae Sedis.